Transfer RNA from Laetiporus sulphureus 93-53, 86 nucleotides. It matches the Rfam family "tRNA". Rfam says of the family: Transfer RNA (tRNA) molecules are approximately 80 nucleotides in length. NCBI's taxonomy places the organism in Eukaryota, Fungi, Basidiomycota, Agaricomycetes, Polyporales, Laetiporaceae. The record is from Rfam.
GGGCGUUUGGCACAGUGGUAGCGCGCAUGCUUUGCACCUUUUGGAUUAAUUGCAUGAGGUCGAGGGUUCAAACCCCUCAACGUCCA